This 233-nucleotide ribosomal RNA is filed under the name uncultured bacterium. RNAcentral's name for it is "partial 16S ribosomal RNA". It matches the Rfam family "Bacterial small subunit ribosomal RNA", at positions 100 to 334 of the family's 1533-position model. The record is from RNAcentral.
CGGGACGGGUGAGUAAUGUCUGGGAAACGUCUCGAUGGAGGGGGAUAACUACUGGAAACGGUAGCUAAUACCGCAUAACGUCGCAAGACCAAAGAGGGGGACCUUCGGGCCUCUUGCCAUCGGAUGUGCCCAGAUGGGAUUAGCUAGUAGGUGGGGUAACGGCUCACCUAGGCGACGAUCCCUAGCUGGUCUGAGAGGAUGACCAGCCACACUGGAACUGAGACACGGUCCAG